CAUGCAAGUCGAGCGAGAAGGUCCCCGCAAGGGGAUCCGAAAGCGGCAAACGGGUGCGUAACACGUGGGUAAUCUGCCCUGCGACGGGGGAUAAGCCUUCGAAAGGAGGUCUAAUACCGCGUACGUUCCUCGGGUCGCCUGGCCCGGGGAAGAAAGGUCCCGCAGCAAUGCGGGGUCGCCGCAGGAGGAGCCCGCGGCCGAUUAGGUAGUUGGCGGGAUAACAGCCCACCAAGCCUGCGAUCGGUAGCCGACCUGAGAGGGUGUCCGGCCACACUGGGACUGAGAUACGGCCCAGACUCCUACGGGAGGCAGCGGUAGGGAAUAUUGCGCAAUGGGGGAAACCCUGACGCAGCAACGCCGCGUGGAGGAUGAAGUCCUUCGGGAUGUAAACUCCUGUCAGGAGGGACGAACCUCCUCGAGCAAUCGAGGACUGACGGUACCUCCAGAGGAAGUUCCGGCCAACUCCGUGCCAGCAGCCGCGGUAAUACGGGGGGAACGAGCGUUGUUUGGAAUCACUGGGCGUAAAGGGUCGGUAGGCGGGACGGCAGGUCGGCGGUGAAAGCUCUCCGCUUAACGGAGAAUCCGCCGCCGAAACCGCUGUUCUUGAGGACGGAAGAGGGAAGUGGAAUUCCUGGUGUAGCGGUGAAAUGCGUAGAUAUCAGGAGGAACACCGGUGGCGAAGGCGGCUUCCUGGUCCGUACCUGACGCUGAGCGACGAAGGCUGGGGGAGCAAACAGGAUUAGAUACCCUGGUAGUCCCAGCGGUAAACGAUGAGCACUUGGUGUUGGACCCGUCGACCGGGUUCAGUGCCGCAGCUAACGCAGUAAGUGCUCCGCCUGGGGAGUACGGCCGCAAGGUUGAAACUCAAAGGAAUUGACGGGGGCCCGCACAAGCGGUGGAGUAUGUGGUUUAAUUCGACGCAACGCGAAGAACCUUACCUGGGCUUGACAUGCUGGUGGUAGGGAGUCGAAAGACGAACGACCCCGUAAGGGGAGCCAGCACAGGUGCUGCAUGGCUGUCGUCAGCUCGUGCCGUGAGGUGUUGGGUUAAGUCCCGCAACGAGCGCAACCCCUGUCUGCAGUUGCCAGCCCCGCGCAAGCGGGGGGAACUCUGCGGAGACUGCCCGGGAUGACCGGGAGGAAGGUGGGGAUGACGUCAAGUCCUCAUGGCCCUUACGUCCAGGGCUACACACGUACUACAAUGGCCGUUCACAGCGGGAUGCAAGACCGCAAGGUGGAGCAGAUCCCCAAAAGCGGCCUCAGUUCAGAUUGUCGUCUGCAACUCGACGGCAUGAAGUUGGAAUCGCUAGUAAUCGCGUAUCAGCAGGUCGCGGUGAAUACGUUCCCGGGCCUUGUACACACCGCCCGUCAC
This 1371-nucleotide ribosomal RNA is filed under the name uncultured bacterium. Its description in RNAcentral is "bacterial SSU rRNA". It matches the Rfam family "Bacterial small subunit ribosomal RNA", at positions 54 to 1400 of the family's 1533-position model. The record is from RNAcentral.